GAUGAACGCUGGCGGCGUGCUUAACACAUGCCAGUCGAACGGGAAACCUUUUAUUGAGGCUUCGGCAGAUUUAGCUGGUUUCUAGUGGCGGACGGGUGAGUAACUCGUGGUUAAACUGCCUUAUAUAGGGGGAUAACAACCAGAUAUGGUUGCUUAUAUCGCACAAGCGCACAGGACCGCAAGGUACGGUGUGAAUAACCCUGGUGGUAUAAGAGGGACCCGCGUUGGUUUAGGGUGUUGGAAGGGUAAAGGCCUACAAAGGCGACUAUCCAUACACGGCGUGAGAGGGUGAACGGCCACAUUUGGGCUGGGACACAGCCCAGACUCCUACGGGAGGCAGCAGUGGGGAAUAUUGCACAAUGGGGGAAACCCUGAUGCAGCGACGCCGCGAGAAGGAAGAAGUAACUCAGUAUGUAAACUUCUAUCAGCAAGGAAGAUAGUGACGGUACCUGACUAAGAAGCCCCGGCUAACUACGUG
Molecule: ribosomal RNA, 478 nt
Filed under: uncultured bacterium
Lineage: Bacteria
Description: partial 16S ribosomal RNA
Rfam family: Bacterial small subunit ribosomal RNA
Source: RNAcentral